Long non-coding RNA from Anguilla rostrata (American eel), 3085 nucleotides. RefSeq lists it as uncharacterized. The transcript is spliced from 2 exons. NCBI's taxonomy places the organism in Eukaryota, Metazoa, Chordata, Actinopteri, Anguilliformes, Anguillidae. The record is from RefSeq and is a predicted model, not a curated record.
AUCUGUAUCUGUUCAACCAACAAAAUUAUCGGAGGGCCAAGAUGGCGGCGUAACCUACAGAACGCGACAGAAUCCUCUCCUAAAUUAAUUUUUACUAUAGCAACUUAGACUUGAUUACUAUAACAUAACUUGUUCGAAACAAGUAAGACAUUAGUAACUGGCAUUGAUUUCAUUCCAAACAUCAAUCUUGCAUUGACGUUUCAAGAUUAGUUUUAGUACAGAAACGAACUUUUCCAAACUAGCUAGCUAGCUAGCUAACUUUUUGUGAUCCGGAUCUCGUGCAGUGUAGCUCAUGGCUAACAACGGGAACAAACGUAAGUCUCCAAACGCUGGAACCACCUCAUCAUAUCCAGACUCUCCAUUGAAAACCCCAACUACCAAAAACAGGAAAAUUUUCGAAGAUGAUGAUGUUGCUCAAAGCAUCAUUACUAAACUAACAGUGGCGAUAAAUGAGAGAGCAGAUGGCUUGCAGGCAGGUAUUGAAAACUUGAAAGAAUCAGUUGAAUUUGUCUUUGCUGAAGUAAAAGAUCUAAAAAGAAAGAUGGAGAAUACGGAGUUGGUAAAACCGAACGAAAAUUGGCUGAGAAGGAAAACAAGGUGCUAGAACUUUCACGAUAUAAAAGACGCUGGAACUUGCGCCUGUUUGGUCUCGUCGAAGAGGAAGGGGAGGACGUUCGGAAAAGGGUGAUCUCCAUCUGUCAGAAAACGGCUCCAGACCUCAAGGACAAACUCCCUGAUGUGAUUGACAGCGUUCACCGGCUUGGAAAAGCUCACCAGGGCAAGCAACGAGUAAGAGAUGUUAUUCUACAGUUUUCAAUGAGGCACUACCGUGACGGCGUCUGGAAAGCUGCGAAAUACUCAACAUUUCUCCAAGAGAACAAACUGCGUUUCAAGGAAGACUUCUCCCCAGAUGACAGGGCAAGACGUAACCAGCUGUGGCCGUUAGUGGAGAAGGCUAGAAAAGAAGGCAAGAUAGCCUAUUUCGUCGGAGCAAGAGCCUUCAUUGAGAGGAAGGAGAUUCAUCCCCCAACAGAAUGUGCGAACUGUUGAUCACUUAAUUCAGGUUUGAUAACAUAUCCAAGUUUGGAGUGUGACAAUAUAAAUUCUCUUUGUUGUUUGGUUACGUAAUGUUAAGUACAACAAGUACAACGUCAAGUUGUGGUUAAAUAAAAAUAAAAAUUUUUAGAAUUCACAGUUGAACUUUUUUUCUAACCUAACCUACACAAGUUAAUUUCCUUGCAUAUAUGUUGUUCUCGGUCUUGAACAAUAGAACAUGUGGGACCUAAUCAAUAGAACCUUGCUUACUAAAGUUGCUAUGAUAUUAUAUUUUAAAAAGGAGAGCAUUCUGUUCUAGAGAGAAUACUACUCUUCAGUUCUCAGGGUAUUAAGCCACUUAGCUGCACUCUAGCUUACUCCAGCUCGUUGUUUUUUCAUCAUUUUCAUUAUUUAAUCUUUAACAGUUGUCUCGUUCAACGCUCGGGGUCUAAGGGACAAGGUAAAACGAAAAGCUAUUUUUCUUUAUGCCAAAAGUUUUAAUGCAGAUUUUUUUUUGUUUUAUACAGGAAACUUAUUCAGAGGCAAAUGACUUAAAAUUUUGGAAAUCGCAAUGGGAUGAAGAAAUUUUGUUCUCCCAUGGCUCAAAUCAUUCGGCAGGUGUCUUAACACUAAAACAUAGAUUCAGUGGUAAAAUCCUCUUCUCCCUCUCUGAUCAACUGGGUCAUUUUCUCUUCUUGGUUAUUUCACUUAAUGAGGAGUUGUUUUUGCUUGGCAACAUAUAUGGGUAUAGUAACAAAAAAGAAAACAGAUUUAAUGGAAAUAUUGAAUAUUAAAACAGAAUAUAUAUUGGGUAAAUAUACAAAUACAAAUUAUUUUGGGUGGAGACUUUAAUUUAACUAUAAACAAUACCAUCGACAGAUGGCCUGCAAAAUCUAGUGCCAGUUCGAAUGCCAUCUUGACAGACUUCAUGUAUAAGCUAAACCUUACAGAUAUAUGGAGAUUAAAGAACCCAAAUAUGGUUGAUUUUACUUGGGAAACAAAACCGGCUCUCUUAAGUCCGGAAUAGAUCUAUGGCUAAUUUCAGAUACUAUGGUGGAAUCUACACUUAGGGCUGUAAUCUUACCGGCCCCCUUGUCUGAUCAUAAAGUUAUCUUAUUGGAAGUAGUUAUGUCUGCCUGUCAUCAUUCAAGAAAGAACACAAAAUGCAUUUAGCAUAAAUUGGGAACUCCUCAAAUUUGAACUCCGGAAAUUGUUGAUGAAAACAGGAGCGGAAUUAGUGGAAAAACAGAAAAAAAGCAGAAACCCAACUAAUUGCAUAUAUAACACUAAAUAAUGUGGCGCCUGAUAACAUGUCUGAGGAAAAUAAAGUAAAAUUAGCAGAAUUACAACUUAAAUUAGACAACAUUUACAUUUAUAAAGAUAAAGGAGCUUUUAUACGUUCUAGGAAAAAAUGGCUCGAAGAAGGGGAACGAAAUUCAACAUAUUUUUUUAAUCUAGAAAAGUACCAUCUGUCACGGCGCGGGUAGGGGGGGACCCAAACGCAGAGGGAAAAGAAAACACAAAUCCAAAAUGGGAGGGGAACAAAGACUUUACUAUAGACAGGCAAACAAGCAGGGAACAGACAAGGCCACAAAGGGAAAAAAACACGAACUCAAAAAAUCUCUAAAUAAAACAGAAAACAAGAGGAACUCAAACACGGGAAGGGCAGAACACGGUCAGGGCAGAACGCAGGCAGGCAGAACACAAGGGCAAAUCAACAAGUCAGGAACAAAACAAAACACAAGGCCAAAUCAACAAGUCAGGAACAAAACUAGUCAGGAACAAAACAAGUCAGGAACAAAACUCAAGCAGGCAGGUACAUGGAAGUGAGGGAACAAACACAAGCAGGCAGGUACAUGGAAGUCAGGGAACAAACACAAGCAGGCAGGUAUAUGGAAGUCAGGGAACAAACACAAGCAGGCAGGUGCAUGGAAUUCAGGGAACAAACACAAGUAGGCAGGUACAUGGAAGUCAGGGAACAAACACAACUCGGGAACAAACACAAACAGGUAAAAAAAAAAACGCAGGCAGGUAUAAAUGGUCUGAACAU